CUUCACUCUCUCUACUGCCCCUUCACUCUCUCUACUGCCCCUUCACUCUCUCUACUGCCCCUUCUCUCUCUCUACUGCCCCUUCACUCUCUCUACUGCCCCUUCACUCUCUCUACUGCCCCUUCACUCUCUCUACUGCCCCUUCACUCUCUCUACUGCCCCUUCACUCUCUCUACUGCCCCUUCACUCUCUCUACUGCCCCUUCACUCUCUCUACUGCCCCUUCACUCUCUCUACUGCCCCUUCACUCUCUCUACUGCCCCUUCUCUCUCUCUCUACUGCCCCUUCACUCUCUCUACUGCCCCUUCACUCUCUCUACUGCCCCUUCACUCUCUCUACUGCCCCUUCACUCUCUCUACUGCCCCUUCUCUCUCUCUCUCUCUCUCUCUCUCUCUCUCUCUCUCUCACUCUUCUUCCUCUCUCUUCUUCCACUCUCUCUCUCCAGAGAUGUCAUGACACAUGUUAUGGUCUGUGUCAAGGCAUGCACCCAAAUAGUAAACACAGCCAAGUUAAUCUGUGUUAUAACACCUUCUCUUCUCUCCUCCCUAGGUAACAUACCACCAGGCGUGAACCCAGAAGCGCACCAGUGGUUCCAGACAGUGGACACCGACCAUAGCGGCUCCAUCACUCUAAAGGGAACUGAAACAGGCUCUGGUAAACUCCAACUGGUCAGCCUUCAACGACGAGACCUGCCUUAUGAUGAUCAGUGAGUUAAACAGGGAGAGGGGGAUGGACAGGGAGGUAGAGAGAGAGAGAGGGAGGGGGGGAAUGAAAUAAAGAUGUAGGGGGAUGAUGAUGAUAAUGAUGACAUCUAUACUACUCAGCCACCAUACUGUUAACAGCUAGGUCGUGUUAAGUGUUCAUGUGAAUGGUACAGUGAGGGAAAAAAGUAUUUGAUCCCCUGCUGAUUUUGUACAUUUGCCCACUGACAAAGAAAUGAUAAGUCUAUAAUUUUAAUGGUAGGUUUAUUUGAAUAAAAUAAUGAAAAAGUAAUUGGGGGAUUGAAACCAGG
Molecule: long non-coding RNA, 1010 nt
Filed under: Salmo trutta (river trout)
Lineage: Eukaryota; Metazoa; Chordata; Actinopteri; Salmoniformes; Salmonidae
Description: lncRNA (ENSSTUG00000022237.1)
Source: RNAcentral